AUGGGCUUACCAUGGCCCCAGGGAGCCUUUUGCUACAGUGAACAGGCCCAACUCCUCGCCUCCAGCAGAAGUGACAGCAGCUCCCUGCAGGGCCACCUCCUCAUAUCAAGGCAGGAUAUGGGCCUCAGACCUGAACAGGUUCUCUGCCAAAUAUUCUACUCAACUUGUGGGGAGACGCUGACACCAAGGCAAUAUGCCAUAUGGGGAAGACGGGAGAGUGUGCAAAGCUGUAGCACAACUGAAAUUAAGACUGUAGUUACCUUGAUGCCAGAAAUCCUGUUUGUGGGGACAGCUAAGCGGACCUGCGUUUAAGCAGCUGGACUUUCUCCAGUCCUCC
Molecule: long non-coding RNA, 337 nt
Filed under: Chinchilla lanigera (long-tailed chinchilla)
Lineage: Eukaryota; Metazoa; Chordata; Mammalia; Rodentia; Chinchillidae
Description: lncRNA (ENSCLAG00000022830.1)
Source: RNAcentral